Magnolia sinica is the source of this 977-nucleotide long non-coding RNA. RefSeq lists it as uncharacterized. NCBI's taxonomy places the organism in Eukaryota, Viridiplantae, Streptophyta, Magnoliopsida, Magnoliales, Magnoliaceae. The record is from RefSeq and is a predicted model, not a curated record. The transcript is spliced from 4 exons.
UUUAUGUUGUUUCCACUUUCUCAAAUCAUGUUCUACAUGGUGUGCAACUGAAUUAGUGUGUUUCUGUUAUUUUUCAAUUGUUUCUGAUCUGUUAUCAAUUUGUUGAUAAACCAAAUGCACAGAGUCACUUGGCUGCACUGAUUAGUUCCACCCCCCUCUCUCAUGUCCUUUUUUUUUUUUUGGGAACAGAAAUGCUUUCAAAAAUGAGCUGACAUUGUUAGAAAAGGUUUGGCAUCCUAAUAUGGUUCAGUUUGUGGGAGCUGCUACUCAGAAUAUACCCAUGAUGAUUGUUUCAGAGUACCAUCCAAAAGGAGAUUUGGCGAAUUACCUUCAAAAGAAAGGACGUUUACAGCCUUCUAAAGCUCUGAGAUUUGCUCUUGAUAUUGCUAGCCAGCUUGUUUUCACCACAUUGCAAAGUGGGACCGCACGGGACAACUUCCCGACAAAUCAACAAUCAUUGUUUGGCGGUCUGAAACACAAUGAAUGGUGAUUUGGAGUGUGAGCUAAUUUUAACUGCUAAUGUGUGCUACUUCUUCAUGAAUAUAAAAUUGCAGUUAGGUCCUCUUUAAGCUGGAUUGGGCUUGGGCUGACCCUCUGGUUGGAAUUGGUCAGGUCAAGUAUGGUUACCUGAUUUGGCAAUUCUGCUUCUAUCCUUGUGCUUCUCUGUUGGAAUGUAACUCUUUAGAGAUGGAAACCUCUUGUUACAAAUAUCAUGUGGAUGAACUUACUUGUUCAAACAAGUAUCUAUUUUCUCUUAUGCAAUGUGUUUCUAAAAUUUAUCAUCAUCACCAGAAAAAGGUAACAGUGUCUUUUUGCCAUUGUCUAAUCUUUUAUUUUCCCUUGAACAGCUUUUACCCUGCUUUCAGAGCUUGCUAGUUUCAAGUUAAAAUCCAUAUACACUGCAAUGAAUAAUUUAUAUUGCACAAAAUCUUCUUUCUUUGGGAAAUAAAAGAAGAACGUUAACAUGUCGGUUCAAA